GGGGAUUUAACUCAGUGGUAGAGUGCUUGCCUAGCAAGCGCAAGGCCCUGGGUUCGGUCCCCAGCUCCA
This 69-nucleotide transfer RNA is filed under the name Rattus norvegicus (Norway rat). It matches the Rfam family "tRNA". Rfam says of the family: Transfer RNA (tRNA) molecules are approximately 80 nucleotides in length. Their secondary structure includes four short double-helical elements and three loops (D, anti-codon, and T loops). Lineage: Eukaryota; Metazoa; Chordata; Mammalia; Rodentia; Muridae. The record is from Rfam by way of RNAcentral.